Molecule: long non-coding RNA, 235 nt
Organism: Polypterus senegalus (gray bichir)
Lineage: Eukaryota; Metazoa; Chordata; Cladistia; Polypteriformes; Polypteridae
Exons: 3
Source: RefSeq, a predicted model, not a curated record
GUCAGCCCCACCAUGAAACUCACCACCUUGCUGGUUCUGCUGUGCCUGUGCUCUGUGCCAAUGGCUAAUUGUAUCUCGGAGACGAAAUCGCUCAAGCACAAUUGGGUUCCUUCACUUACCACGGACACUCGUGGAUAUGACAUAGUACGUGAUGAUACUUACCUAAUGUCUAAGAAGGACUUGAAGAAGGACUUGCAGAUGAGCCUGUAGAAGGGUGAUUUCUCAGGACUUCAAU